This 292-nucleotide transfer-messenger RNA is filed under the name Paludibacteraceae bacterium. RNAcentral's name for it is "partial transfer-messenger RNA". It matches the Rfam family "transfer-messenger RNA", at positions 1 to 262 of the family's 374-position model. From Rfam's summary of the family: Bacterial tmRNA, also known as 10Sa RNA or SsrA, is named for its dual tRNA and mRNA-like properties. Its role is to liberate the mRNA from a stalled ribosome. Lineage: Bacteria; Pseudomonadati; Bacteroidota; Bacteroidia; Bacteroidales; Paludibacteraceae. The record is from RNAcentral.
GGGCUUGACUGGAAUUGACAGCGAGUAAAAUUGGUAUGUAAGCAUGCAGAGCUUUGUAUGAGUAGCUCUUUAAUCUGAACAUACAACAAUCUAAUUGGCGAAAAUAACUACGCUCUUGCUGCUUAAUCGAAUAACAGUAGAUUAGCUUAAUUUCGGUACAAGGUGCUGAAACAAGACAUCUCUCAAAUGCCCACUCCUUGAGGCGGUUUGAUAUAGAGGUGCUAACUAAAUCAGGGAUAGCUUAUCAUCGCCUCGUUUGGUAAGUGAAAAUAAAGAGGAUAAGGUUGUAGUU